AAAAGGCGGAGCCACGAACCAGGCUCCUGGUCUUCAAGAAGAUUUCGACUAACCAAGUCCACAGACCACCCCCACGCAGGGGUCUCUAAGCAAGCCCCACGAGGGUCUGUCCCAGCCCACACCGCGGACAAAGCAGGCCCAAGACAGAGGCUGAUCGGUGAGCUGACCUCAACAGCCCCACGUCACGGGUGGGCAAACGGAGGUGCAGCGGCUCCCGCCAGGUGAAGCCAGGGUCCCAAGUCCCCAAGCGCGACUCAAUGUCCCCUCUGAGGCCUCCUCUCACCGCCCAAUGCCCCACCCACGGAUUCAAAUGCCUCCCACGGAUGCCCCCAACCGCCGGCCCUUCUGGCUUGCAUCCCGGGGGCGCGCAUCCCCACCUGGCCCCCUCCCCACUAGCUCCCCAGCGUCAGCCUCCAGAGGCCGCGGGGCAGGGCUGGGGGGAACUCAGAUCCCCAGGCUGGCUUUUGCUCUCCCUCAAUUCCGGAAAAGCUUGAGGACUCCCGGUGGCGGGGGAUGGGGGGUCGGCUAGCAGGGCGCUGUGUGACCCUUGCCCCUCGCCGCCCCUCCUGGCUCUCAAAUGAGGGAGAGAGCGGCACCAUCCCCGCGGUCCUCUUGAAGCCGAAAGGUAGAUCCCUGCCCCGUUCCCGCCGUCCUG
RNAcentral lists this long non-coding RNA (655 nucleotides) under Homo sapiens (human). RNAcentral's name for it is "HSALNT0263295". The record is from RNAcentral. Lineage: Eukaryota; Metazoa; Chordata; Mammalia; Primates; Hominidae.